GGGUUCGCCCGCCACCAGGACCAAACCAUAAACCUUUUUCUUAUGCAGUUUCCAUCAGCGUCAGUAAAAACAAUGUAAUAAUUACAACUUUCAACAACGGAUCUCUUGGUUCUGGCAUCGAUGAAGAACGCAGCGAAAUGCGAUACGUAGUGUGAAUUGCAGAAUUCAGUGAAUCAUCGAAUCUUUGAACGCACAUUGCGCCCUUUGGUAUUCCAAAGGGCAUGCCUGUUCGAGCGUCAUUUGUACCUUCAAGCUUUGCUUGGUGUUGGGCGUUUUUGUCUCCCUCUUUCUGGGAGACUCGCCUUAAAACGAUUGGCAGCCGGCCUACUGGUUUCGGAGCGCAGCACAUUUUUUGCGCUUUGUAUCAGGAGAAAAGGACGGUACUCCAUCAAGACUUUUACAAUUUUAACUUUUGACCUCGGAUCAGGUAGGGAUACCCGCUGAACUUA
Molecule: ribosomal RNA, 449 nt
Filed under: Bipolaris cynodontis
Lineage: Eukaryota; Fungi; Ascomycota; Dothideomycetes; Pleosporales; Pleosporaceae
Description: eukaryotic LSU rRNA
Rfam family: 5.8S ribosomal RNA (bases 86-239)
Source: RNAcentral